RNAcentral lists this non-coding RNA (23 nucleotides) under Arabidopsis thaliana (thale cress). The record is from RNAcentral. Lineage: Eukaryota; Viridiplantae; Streptophyta; Magnoliopsida; Brassicales; Brassicaceae.
GAAGAAGAACAAAAGUGUGGGCA